GAUCAAGUGAAAGAAGGGCAUUUGGUGGAUGCCUUGGCAUGCACAGGCGAUGAAGGACGUGAUACGCUGCGAAAAGCCGUGGGGAGCUGCGAAUGAGCUUUGAUCCAUGGAUCUCCGAAUGGGGCAACCCACCUUAGAUGCUUGGAAAAUCAUUUUGGUUGGCAUCUGGUCCCGAAGCCGUAAGGCUUCGCAAGGCCAGAGGCCGUCGCCGGUUAUCCGGCGUCAAGAAACCAAAGUGGUUUCCAAGCAUUGUUGAAAGGUAUCUUAUUCUGAAUACAUAGGGAUAAGAAGCGAACGCAGGGAACUGAAACAUCUAAGUACCUGCAGGAAAGGACAUCAACCGAGACUCCGCAAGUAGUGGCGAGCGAACGCGGACCAGGCCAGUGGCAAUGAGGAAUAAAGUGGAACGAUCUGGAAAGUUCGGCCGUAGCGGGUGAUAGCCCCGUACACGUAGAACACUCAUUGUCCUUGAGUAAGGCGGGACACGUGAAAUCCUGUCUGAACAUGGGGAGACCACUCUCCAAGCCUAAGUACUCGUGCAUGACCGAUAGCGAACAAGUACCGUGAGGGAAAGGUGAAAAGCACCCCGACAAGGGGAGUGAAAUAGAACCUGAAACCGGAUGCCUACAAACAGUCGGAGCCCGCAAGGGUGACGGCGUACCUUUUGUAUAAUGGGUCAACGACUUAGUGUGGCAUGCAAGCUUAAGCCGGUAGGUGGAGGCGUAGCGAAAGCGAGUCUGAACAGGGCGCUUUAGUAUGUCGCAUUAGACCCGAAACCGAGUGAUCUAGCCAUGAGCAGGUUGAAGGUUGGGUAACACCAACUGGAGGACCGAACCCGCAUCUGUUGCAAUAGAUUGGGAUGACUUGUGGCUAGGGGUGAAAGGCCAAUCAAACUCGGAAAUAGCUGGUUCUCCGCGAAAACUAUUUAGGUAGUGCGUCGACCGAAUACCCUCGGGGGUAGAGCACUGGAUGGGCUAUGGGGACUCACCGUCUUACUGAUCCUAACCAAACUCCGAAUACCGAGGAGUACUAGUCGGCAGACACACGGCGGGUGCUAACGUCCGUCGUGAAAAGGGCAACAACCCUGACCUCCAGCUAAGGUCCCCAAGUCAUGGCUAAGUGGGAAAGGAUGUGAGGAUCCCAAAACAACCAGGAUGUUGGCUUAGAAGCAGCCAUCAUUUAAAGAAAGCGUAACAGCUCACUGGUCUAAAUAAGGGUCUUUGCGCCGAAAAUGUAACGGGGCUGAAGCCAUGCACCGAAGCUGAGGAUACGUCGUAAGACGUGUGGUAGCGGAGCGUUCCGUAAGCCAGUGAAGGGAUACCCGUGAGGGGUCCUGGAGGUAUCGGAAGUGCGAAUGUUGACAUGAGUAACGAUAAAGAGGGUGAGAGACCCUCUCGCCGAAAGACCAAGGGUUCCUGCUUAAAGUUAAUCUGAGCAGGGUUAGCCGGCCCCUAAGACGAGGCGGACACGCGUAGUCGAUGGGAACC
This 1487-nucleotide ribosomal RNA is filed under the name Ensifer meliloti. Its description in RNAcentral is "Sinorhizobium meliloti partial 23S ribosomal RNA". It matches the Rfam family "Bacterial large subunit ribosomal RNA", at positions 1 to 1426 of the family's 2925-position model. The record is from RNAcentral. Lineage: Bacteria; Pseudomonadati; Pseudomonadota; Alphaproteobacteria; Hyphomicrobiales; Rhizobiaceae.